GACGAACGCUGGCGGCGUGCUUAACACAUGCAAGUCGAACGGAAAGGCCCUGCUUUUGUGGGGUGCUCGAGUGGCGAACGGGUGAGUAACACGUGAGUAACCUGCCCUUGACUUUGGGAUAACUUCAGGAAACUGGGGCUAAUACCGGAUAGGAGCUCCUGCUGCAUGGUGGGGGUUGGAAAGUUUCGGCGGUUGGGGAUGGACUCGCGGCUUAUCAGCUUGUUGGUGGGGUAGUGGCUUACCAAGGCUGUGACGGGUAGCCGGCCUGAGAAGGUGACCGGCCACAAUGGGACUGAGAUACGGCCCAGACUCCUACGGGAGGCAGCAGUGGGGAAUAUUGCACAAUGGGCGGAAGCCUGAUGCAGCAACGCCGCGUGCGGGAUGACGGCCUUCGGGUUGUAAACCGCUUUCGCCUGGGACGAAGCGGGAGUGACGGUAAUGGGUAAAGAAGCACCGGCUAACUACGUG
Molecule: ribosomal RNA, 468 nt
Filed under: uncultured bacterium
Lineage: Bacteria
Description: partial 16S ribosomal RNA
Rfam family: Bacterial small subunit ribosomal RNA
Source: RNAcentral